RNAcentral lists this ribosomal RNA (343 nucleotides) under Nematoda environmental sample. RNAcentral's name for it is "bacterial SSU rRNA". It matches the Rfam family "Eukaryotic small subunit ribosomal RNA", at positions 1300 to 1665 of the family's 1831-position model. The record is from RNAcentral. Lineage: Eukaryota; Metazoa; Nematoda.
GGUGGAGCGAUUUGUCUGGUUAAUUCCGAUAACGAACGAGACUCUAGCCUGCUAAAUAGUUCGUCGAUGGCACUCUGUCGGCGCUAACUUCUUAGAGGGACAAGUGGCGUUCAGUCACACGAGAUUGAGCAAUAACAGGUCUGUGAUGCCCUUAGAUGUUCGGGGCCGCACGCGCGCUACACUGGAGGAAUCAGCGUGCUGUAACCAUUGCCGAAAGGUAUUGGUAACCCCUUGAAAAUCCUCCGUGAUCGGGAUCGGGAAUUGCAAUUAUUUCCCUUGAACGAGGAAUUCCUAGUAAGUGUGAGUCAUCAGCUCACGUUGAUUACGUCCCUGCCCUUUGUAC